UUUGAUGGCGACCGGCGCACGGGUGAGUAACACGUAUCCAACCUGCCGAUGACUCGGGGAUAGCCUUUCGAAAGAAAGAUUAAUACCCGAUGGCAUAGUUCUUCCGCAUGGUAGAACUAUUAAAGAAUUUCGGUCAUCGAUGGGGAUGCGUUCCAUUGGGUUGUUGGCGGGGUAACGGCCCACCAAGCCUUCGAUGGAUAGGGGUUCUGAGAGGAAGGUCCCCCGCAUUGGAACUGAGACACGGUCCAA
Molecule: ribosomal RNA, 249 nt
Filed under: uncultured bacterium
Lineage: Bacteria
Description: partial 16S ribosomal RNA
Rfam family: Bacterial small subunit ribosomal RNA
Source: RNAcentral